GAUGAACGCUAGCGGCAGGCUUAACACAUGCAAGUCGAGGGGUAUAGUUCUUCGGAACUAGAGACCGGCGCACGGGUGCGUAACGCGUAUGUAAUCUACCUUUUACAGGGGGAUAGCCCAGAGAAAUUUGGAUUAAUACCCCAUAGUAUGUUGUGGUAGCAUCACUAUAACAUUAAAGUUCCAACGGUAAAAGAUGAGCAUGCGUCCCAUUAGCUAGAUGGUAAGGUAACGGCUUACCAUGGCUACGAUGGGUAGGGGUCCUGAGAGGGAGAUCCCCCACACUGGUACUGAGACACGGACCAGACUCCUACGGGAGGCAGCAGUGAGGAAUAUUGGUCAAUGGGCGCAAGCCUGACCCAGCCAUGCCGCGUGCAGGAAGAAUGCCCUAUGGGUUGUAAACUGCUUUUAUUUGGGAAUAAACCUCUUUACGUGUAGAGAGCUGAAGGUACCAAAUGAAUAAGCACCGGCUAACUCCGUGCCAGCAGCCGCGGUAA
This 494-nucleotide ribosomal RNA is filed under the name uncultured bacterium. RNAcentral describes it as "partial 16S ribosomal RNA". It matches the Rfam family "Bacterial small subunit ribosomal RNA", at positions 28 to 523 of the family's 1533-position model. The record is from RNAcentral.